AAAACUUUCAGCAAUGGAUGUCUUG
RNAcentral lists this ribosomal RNA (25 nucleotides) under Eimeria meleagrimitis. Its description in RNAcentral is "partial 5.8S ribosomal RNA". RNAcentral also lists the same sequence under 3 other names. Lineage: Eukaryota; Apicomplexa; Conoidasida; Eucoccidiorida; Eimeriidae. The record is from RNAcentral.